GAGGGGUGCAAGCGUUGUUCGGAAUUACUGGGUGUAAAGGGUGCGCAGGCGGGACGGCAAGUUGGAUGUGAAAUACCGGAGCUUAACUCCGGAGCUGCAUCCAAAACUGUUGUUCUUGAGUGGAGUAGAGGUAAGCGGAAUUCCGAGUGUAGCGGUGAAAUGCGUAGAUAUUCGGAGGAACACCAGUGGCGAAGGCGGCUUACUGGGCUCUAACUGACGCUGAGGCACGAAAGCAUGGGUAGCAAACAGGAUUAGAUACCCUGGUAGUCCAUGCUGUAAACGAUGAAUGCUAGGUGUGGGGGGACUGACCCCUUCCGUGCCGGAGUUAACACAAUAAGCAUUCCACCUGGGGAGUACGACCGCAAGGUUG
Molecule: ribosomal RNA, 370 nt
Filed under: uncultured rumen bacterium
Lineage: Bacteria
Description: bacterial SSU rRNA
Rfam family: Bacterial small subunit ribosomal RNA
Source: RNAcentral